GAGUUUGAUCAUGGCUCAGAUUGAACGCUGGCGGCAGGCCUAACACAUGCAAGUCGAGCGGCAGCGGGAAAGUAGCUUGCUACUUUUGCCGGCGAGCGGCGGACGGGUGAGUAAUGCCUGGGGAUCUGCCCAGUCGAGGGGGAUAACAGUUGGAAACGACUGCUAAUACCGCAUACGCCCUACGGGGGAAAGGAGGGGACCUUCGGGCCUUUCGCGAUUGGAUGAACCCAGGUGGGAUUAGCUAGUUGGUGGGGUAAUGGCUCACCAAGGCGACGAUCCCUAGCUGGUCUGAGAGGAUGAUCAGCCACACUGGAACUGAAACACGGUCCAGACUCCUACGGGAGGCAGCAGUGGGGAAUAUUGCAUAAUGGGGGAAACCCUGAUGCGGCCAUGCCGCGUGUGUGAAGAAGGCCUUCGGGUUGUAAAGCACUUUCAGCGAGGAGGAAAGGUUGGCGCCUAAUACGUGUCAACUGUGACGUUACUCGCAGAAGAAGCACCGGCUAACUCCGUGCCAGCAGCCGCGGUAGUACGGAGGGUGCAAGCGUUAAUCGGAAUUACUGGGCGUAAAGCGCACGCAGGCGGUUGGAUAAGUUAGAUGUGAAAGCCCCGGGCUCAACCUGGNAAUUGCAUUUAAAACUGUCCAGCUAGAGUCUUGUAGAGGGGGGUAGAAUUCCAGGUGUAGCGGUGAAAUGCGCAGAGAUCUGGAGGAAUACCGGUGGCGAAGGCGGCCCCCUGGACAAAGACUGACGCUCAGGUGCGAAAAGCGU
RNAcentral lists this ribosomal RNA (767 nucleotides) under uncultured bacterium. RNAcentral describes it as "bacterial SSU rRNA". It matches the Rfam family "Bacterial small subunit ribosomal RNA", at positions 9 to 762 of the family's 1533-position model. The record is from RNAcentral.